UUGUAAUAAAAUUUUUCUUUUCUUAAAAAAAACUGACUCGGCAAAAAUAAAAUGAAAAAAACCAAUCAAACCUCCCUUGGGUUGCCUCCCAAGCAGCGCUUCGUUUAACGUCGCAUGGCUCGACGGGAAACCUCAUACUCAGAUGAGUUUAACAGUUUCAAUUGGUCCCCCUUCACCGGGAUUGUAUGGUUUCAACCUCUGACCAUUAACCUUGAAGGUGUCG
Molecule: long non-coding RNA, 223 nt
Filed under: Lathyrus oleraceus (garden pea)
Lineage: Eukaryota; Viridiplantae; Streptophyta; Magnoliopsida; Fabales; Fabaceae
Description: Pisum sativum (pea) long non-coding RNA (PSAT_LNC009310)
Source: RNAcentral